CUAUUUAUGUAUCAAGGGCAUUGUAAGGACGAUAAUGCCCGGAAGGUGGAAAUAGUAAGCUAGGUUUCCGCCUGAUGGGCAUUAGAGUCUAACAAUGCCCGUGGUGCAUACAAUGCUUUAUGUUUUACCUAAAAAUUGAUUUUUAUGAACAAAAAUAAUUUUAAUAUUAAUUAAAAAAUAGGUUCUACCUGUACAGGUAGAUAUACGUACAUACCUACCUACAGAAAUUUAUCAAGUGACUUGCAGUGAUUAUUUAAGUUUGACUUUGAUGUUUCUGUCAGUUAGUCAGUUGGCAUUUUUUGUUUAAAUAUUUGCUUAAAAUGGAAGAAAUUCCAGAAAAUAUAAGAGAAAAGGCCAUACAAGCGACCGAAAAUCUUUUGCCAGUUAAAUCAAGGCAACAUUAUGAUCGGGAGUAUGGCAUAUUUGGUAUUUGGAAAGAUGCCAACGCAAUUGUUCAAAUAACCGAAACCGUUCUAAUAGCAUAUUUUCAGGGACUGUCGGAAAAAUACAGUCCGAACUCUCUCUGGACCAAGUAUUCUACCCUAAAGUCUAUGUUAAUGGUCUAUAAAAAUAUAGACAUCUCGCAAUACCAUCGUCUCAUAUCUUUUUUAAAAGUUAAGUCGAAAGGAAAUGUCCCGAAGAAGUCUAAAGUUUUGGAAGGAGAACAAAUAAUAAAAUUUAUUAAGAAGGCUCCUGAUGAUAUUUACAUGGUACACAAAGUCAUAUUGGUAAUGGGUGUUUUUGGAGGUUUAAGACGAGAUGAGUUGGUCAAAAUGACCAUUGAUGAUAUUGAAGAUAGAGGAACGGUCUUAGUUAUAAAGGUACCAGAAACUAAAACUUCAACUUCAAAAAGUUUUACUAUCAUUGAAGAAGAUUUAGGCGCUUUAAAUUUAAUAAAAAAGUACGCAGCAUUUAAAGAAACAUUAUUUUUUGUAUAAAAUGGAUGUUUAUUCUUUAUUAUGAGAGAAAAAAAAUUGGAUAAGCAAUAAAAUUUCCGGGCAUUAUCAUAAUGCUUGCUUAUAAUGCCCUAGGUGUGAUAGCAGGUAUUAUUGCUACCAUAACAUAUUCCGUUUCUAAGGUAUUAUAAAUCAAAUAAUUGAUAGGUAAAACAUAAAAAUAUAAACUGACUGAGAUAUUAAGGGCUAGUCUAGCUUAUGGAUAGACCCUUAUGAAAUGGAGGCCAGUAAGGGUUGCUUUUAUACUCAAGUCCGGAAAAACUGAAUAUUCUCAAGCCAAAUCUUUCAGACCGAGAAGUCUUAUGUCAUUUCUUCUGAAGAUACUAAAAGAACUACUCGACAGACACAUUAGCGAUGGAGCAUUGAUUGAAAACCUUCUGCUGCAAAAUCAAUGUGCUUACACCGCAUGCCAAUCAACAGAAACGGCGCUGCAUAGACUCAUAACUAUGCUAGAGAAGACUCUGAAAAUCAGCUACUAGCCAGUUACUAGCUGCCUUCCUGGAUACCGAAGGAGCAGGCAAUACACCAUUCGAGUCUAUUACAAACACCGCAGGAGAACUUGUACUAUCUCGCGUCUAUACGCGAGAUCAUGCACGUGGAGAGACAGAUAACAGUCAGGCUAACUUGACAAGACACAAAGGAAUAUUAAGAAUCUGUGAGGCAAACAAAUCAGAAAUGAUUUCCGAUCACAUGAUUCCAAAGUAUUGCUUCCGCAUACCUUUUAAGAAACAAGAAAAGAUUGGAAUGACAGCAACCGCAGACCAGACGGAGAUCUUAAUUAGUACACAGAUAAAUGCAAGACCAACAAAGGAACGGGAGCUGGAAUUGUUGGAGAAAAACUUAAGCCUCAAACGUCUCAUCCGCUUGAAAGACAUGCCUUAGUUUUUAAGACAGAAAUAUUUGUGAUAGUAGAAUGUGCUAGGAAAAACAUUGGGAGAGCAGACACUAAUAAGCAGAUCCUAAUAAUAACAGAUAGCCAAGCCGUCCUAAGAGUCCUAUCGAAACUUAGAAUUAUAUCAAAGCUGUUUUGGAAAUGCCUCAUAGAAACUGAAAACGGGCAUUUCCGAGUAUGCGAAAAGAAACGGUCCGACAUAUCAUUUGAAACUGUAAGGCUAUGUGCUGAAAAAGGCAAUAAAUAUUUGGGACAUACUGGAUCCAGAAGCACAGCAACAAAAAACUUGUAUCAAGUGGUAAAGGGCAACAAGGUGCUAGGCUGGGUAGUAUCGACUAUUAAUAAUUGAUAAAGUUAAUGUCGACUUGAUAUUUUUAAAUAUGACCAGACAUAAACAAAUUAACAUUGAACUGUCAUUGGCCCGUUUAUAAUUUUAGGCCUCUUUGACUUAUUAUUUAGAAUAUGCACGAUGUUUAUGUCUGGCUCUUGGUUUUGACUAUAAAGACUAUCACAGAAUUAAAAUAUAUUUGCAUAUUUACUAGUACUAUUAAUCCAUUAGUACUUUGCGAAUUUUGCGACGAGAAAUAAUCAACUGCACGUGUAUUUAAAUUAAAGACGUUGGGUUAAACAAUUUUUCUUUACUAAGAAGCUUAGAAAAUUUUUUAAAUAUCAAAUACUUGCUGUAAUUAAAUAUUUAAAUAAUUUUUGAUUAUGA
This 2563-nucleotide long non-coding RNA is filed under the name Anthonomus grandis grandis. Its description in RNAcentral is "uncharacterized LOC126734976". The record is from RNAcentral. Lineage: Eukaryota; Metazoa; Arthropoda; Insecta; Coleoptera; Curculionidae.